RNAcentral lists this long non-coding RNA (3342 nucleotides) under Sus scrofa (pig). RNAcentral's name for it is "lncRNA (ENSSSCG00005008923.1)". Lineage: Eukaryota; Metazoa; Chordata; Mammalia; Artiodactyla; Suidae. The record is from RNAcentral.
AAGUGCCUUGCAUGCUUAUGUUACUAUUCAUUCUGAGAUAGACAGAUCAUCAAUGACCUUCUGGGUCACUGACUAGGGAGAAAGCCGACUUUAAAAAAAAGAGUGGGAGAAAAAUAAGAGGGGGGGUUGCUUCCUUCCACCCUAGACCCCCUACUGCCUUGAAUGAAAGAAAACAGAUGGCAGCCACCUUCCCCUUUAAUUAGGAGGGGCAGCUCAGAAGGGGACAGCCCUGCUCACUUGGCACCAUCUUUAACAAACCGUUUCGAUGGUAAUGCUCUCUGCUCACUCGCCCUUGUUUCAAACUGUUCUCAAUCUCUGAUUUGCAAACCGAAUCUCUGUCAAUUUAAUUGUGAAAAACUACAGGUCUGCGCACAACGCCAUACAAAAAGAAGGUGCUUAAAGAUGUUUGCUGAAUUAAUAAUUCACAGACCUUCAGAGAGGGAGCCCGGAGUGUUUCAAACGAAGUGCAGCCACCUCAAGUUCCAUCAUCACCACUCUGAGAUAAAGCGUGCGUUCCCACGGCACAGAAGCCCUGGCUUAAAUUCACACGGUAUUCCAUACUGGAUUCAGAAGAUCCCUGACUUCUGCUUUCCAAACGCCACACUACAGCCAUGCUGUCCCCUUCUACCUUCAAAGUGUCACUGCUGAAAGCUGAGAAAACGCUACUGUAAACGCAGUCCCUUUUACUGCAGAAAGGUUAGUUUAAUUACAAAUUACAAACCAUUCUGCAUUUCCACUUGUUUUGCAUUUUCCAAACCACAGAACCUUGUAUUCAAAAUUUAUCAAGCCGCAUAACAUCUCUGGAGACAGGAUCAGCAUGAAAAACAAAACAAAACAAAAGUGGAAGACAAGAACCAAGUGUCAGAAGCAGGCUGAUGUCACAGACAAGUCUUCUGUGUAGGUGAUAAAGCCUCUUCCUAAUUUUGUUAAGUUAUUAAAUGUAUUUUCUAUAAAUCUGCAAGGGAGGAAACUUUCUAACCUGAAAGAAAAAAAAGUUCAGUUCCUGUUGAUGAGGUUAGGUCUUUAUCUAUUUUAACCCAUUUUUUAUAUUAAAUUUUUUCCCCAACAUCAUUAAAUAACUUGUAUUCUUUGGGUCCUUCCCAUUUCCUGACAGGUUUUAAAAUUACAGCCUCUUGUCCAAGAGCCAUUCCCAUCUAGUGCCUGCAGUUUCCACGUGGAGACUCCCCGUCUCCAUACCUGUCGUGUGCCCUUCCUGCUUCCAGUGGAAAUGAGGGCAAGUGAAGCGGGGCUAUUCUGCUAGAUGCGCUCCUGGCCGCACCACAUAAACAGCCUUGUCUGUGUCACUGUCAUUUAAUUAAUGCUAAGUUCUUGAACCAUUUAAAAAGAGGGGGGAGAAAAAGAGAACUUUUUUGUUUUCUCAUUGAUAAUAAAUUUCAGUCUCUUACUAUCUCUAACAAGCCAGCCACAAGAAAAAACAUGUAGGAGAGACUGACUAACAAAGAAAUAAACAACACUUACUUUGUUUUCCAGCACAGUAAGCUGGUCGCGAGCGAGAUGAGGGUAAAACUCCUUUCCUCAAGGCCCCUGCUUUCGCUUUGGAAGCUGUGUUUACACUCGGGUCCAGGUUUGCUGCAGGACUCCUAAAUGCCUGCGCCUCUCGGAUGCCCCAAGUUCACAGUUCAUCUCAGAGGCUUCAUCGAGGACAAGGAAUCCCCAGUUCAGACCCAGGCAACCUCUGGGCGCCACGUGGCACCACUGCUGUUGUUACCACACGCACGCCUGGGACACCCACUUGUUACCUCAGGAACCAGGCCACCAGCAGAUAACCACUCAGACGAGUGUCCAGAGACGCGAGCCUCUGGCAUUCUCAGGUUCAAGGUUGGAAAAUGCAUAAAGACAGGAACCACACAGUCAGCAGUAUUCUGUGCCAUUAACUUUCUUGCACUUAAAUUUAGCCUUAAGAAAGAGCGGAGGGCACAAAAUUAAAAGAGGUAUUUUACUGGUGACCGGCAUUUGUCCUGUCUCGCUAGAAUCAAUUUAAAAAAAAAAAAAAAGGAAAAAAGUAUAAUUUUGCUUAAAAAUGUAACCCCUUACUAAAUCUCAUCGGGUUCAUUUUUUAAAACCCAAAUUUGAUGUUUGUUUUGAAAACUUACUUCAUCCAUGUACUGUUCAGCUCAUAAAAACAAACCUUCUUCCAGCAAAAUGGGACACUUUGACCUUGUUUACCGCAGUAUUUUGAAACCUCUGUCUCGUAACUCCUGACAUCACUGGACGUGUAUUAGCACCUUCACUGCUGUUGGCUGCACACGCUGCUACCCCGACCUUCUUGAAUCGCCCCUGGUUGAACAAAUACUUCACACGACAGUAGGGAUACUGGUGUUAGCAUUAAACCCACAGAACUCACGUGGUCCCUUUUAUAAGUGCCACAUCUCUCUGAUCACUUUUCUAAGAAAACAAAAGCACUGAACAUCUGAUACUUUUUUAAGUCCCUGCAUCCAGACCUCAUACAGACUAUUUUUUCUUCAGACCCUCUCCCUGCCCAAGAGAAGGGCUUCCUUUCUCACCAAUCGCCAUACUGGCAAGAAUUUCUGCCACAGAGCUUUUCUAAUAGAAGAUCUUGACCUACUUUCCCCCAAUAAAAAAUUCCCACAAACUUCCCUAGAGGAUAAUUUAUGUUGGCAUAUUUUAGAAUUUCAGAAAGCAUUGUUGCACUUUUAAUUUUGAUAAAGUCAAGAUUUACUCAUUUCUUUUUCUCUUGUGGAAAUGAUUUUGAUAUUGUAUCUGAGUGUUACAUUUUUAAAGAAAUAAUUUUCCCCUGGCAGUCUGACACAUUUCCCUUCUCUAUUCCUCAAUUCUUAUUCUUGAUGUAGAAGAAUUAAAAAAAAAAAAAAGAGAGAGAGAGAGAAUACUUGUAACAUAAUUUAACUGUGUAAGUCACCAUUAAAUUUGAGAGAACAUUUCCUAUAAUCCAACUCUUUAAAUAAAACCAAAUUCUGGUCUUACAGUGGUGGUGCAAUUUUACAGAGAAGUAAUUAAAAACUCAAGUUUAACUUAUCUGAAACCAACUGAUAACAUUCUUGUUUCUCUCCUGAAACAACCUGCAAAACAACAAGUCCUCGAACUACAGUCACCAAGAAAUAAAGAACACGAAAUACAUAUUUGAGCAAUUAUGGCCUUUGUUUGUCAGAGAAGAAUAAAAAGAAAAAACAUCCAGAGUUAAUAAAAUUAAUUAACUCGAGCUAAAGAACUACUAAAAGGACCCUCCGAAUAUCAUGCUGUUACUAUGACAACUUCAAAACUGCUUCAAGCAAAUAUGAGGGAUUUUAAGAUUCAUGAUAAAACAAGUGUCAUCCAGCCUGUGAAAAAUUACUUUCAUUUCCA